This 1173-nucleotide ribosomal RNA is filed under the name Procamallanus xenopodis. Its description in RNAcentral is "Batrachocamallanus xenopodis partial large subunit ribosomal RNA". It matches the Rfam family "Eukaryotic large subunit ribosomal RNA", at positions 52 to 946 of the family's 3401-position model. Lineage: Eukaryota; Metazoa; Nematoda; Chromadorea; Rhabditida; Camallanidae. The record is from RNAcentral.
GGAGGAAAAGAAACUAACGAGGAUUCCCCUAGUAACGGCGAGUGAAUGGGGAAGAGCCCAGCGCUGAAUCCUCUAGCUAUUAGCUAGCUGGAAAUGUAGCGUAUAGGUUUGGCCAACUCUACUCGUACGCUAUACAAAACCCUAAGUCUACCUUGAACGGGGCCACGAUCCAUAGAAGGUGUCAGACCUGUACGGGUUGUGUUUGUGUACGAGCGGUCAUACCUUAGAGUCGGGUUGCCUGAGAUCGCAGCCCAAAUAUGGUGGUAGACUUCAUCUAAGGCUAAAUAUGGCCACGAGACCGAUAGCAAACAAGUACCGUGAGGGAAAGUUGCAAAGAACUUUGAAGAGAGAGUUCAAGAGGGCGUGAAACCGCUGAGAAUGAAGCGGAUAGAGUCGACGAAACUUAAUCAGUAUUCAGUCGACACGCCAAACGGUUCGAUGUGCGUGACGUUACGUUGGCUGAAAUAUGCCUCGUGACGUUCGUCGCGUGUCGUAAAAUUAACUGUAUGGCGCGAGCAUGUCGACGCAUUUACUGGUUGUAUGCAUUGAGAGCUUCGUAUGCGCACGAAGAAGCCCAACUAAUAGAGGCUUGUUCGAUGGCCUUUUUGGGUCCACUCCCACUUGAACCUAUUAUGGGUUGAAGCGUGUCGCAUAUGAGGUUUGCGUUUUUUCGCGCGCAACUAGUAGUAGUGGUCGUUUCUUCUACUACUCUCGCAAUUUUUCCGUCGCCUAACAUUGUGCGCGUUAAUUUUGACGCGCGCAAUGGUCUCGCGUAGGAAGAGAGCAUACUCACAUAAGAGUUGCAGUUGCGUUUCUCGAUGUGAACGUCGAUCACCUAUCCGACCCGUCUUGAAACACGGACCAAGGAGUCUAGCGUAUACGCAAGUCAUUGGGUGUGCGAAUACCUAAAGGCGUAAUGAAAGUGAGUGCUGUUAUUAGUGCAGCUAUUAUGUGAUUUGCUUGCUUCGGCAAUCGCAAAGCAGCAUAAUCCCGUCUUAAUUACUUCUGUAAUGAGGCGGAGAAUGAGCGUAUGCGCUGGGACCCGAAAGAUGGUGAACUAUGCCUGAGCAGGAUGAAGCCAGAGGAAACUCUGGUGGAGGUCCGAAGCGGUUCUGACGUGCAAAUCGAUCGUCUGACUUGGGUAUAGGGGCGAAAGACUAAUCGAACCAUCUA